RNAcentral lists this unclassified non-coding RNA (25 nucleotides) under Mus musculus (house mouse). RNAcentral's name for it is "oocyte_clustered_small_RNA3653". Lineage: Eukaryota; Metazoa; Chordata; Mammalia; Rodentia; Muridae. The record is from RNAcentral.
AGAAAGGACAGUCAGGGUACUUGGG